GAGUUUGCUCCUGGCUCAGAUUGAACGCUGGCGGCAUGCCUAACACAUGCAAGUCGAACGGUAACGCGGAGAGCUUGCUCUCUGGCGACGAGUGGCGGACGGGUGAGUAACGCGUAGGAAUCUGCCCAGUAGUGGGGGACAACCUGGGGAAACCCGGGCUAAUACCGCAUACGCCCUACGGGGGAAAGCGGGGGAUCUUCGGACCUCGCGCUAUUGGAUGAGCCUACGUCCGAUUAGCUUGUUGGUGGGGUAAUGGCCUACCAAGGCGACGAUCGGUAGCUGGUCUGAGAGGACGAUCAGCCACACUGGGACUGAGACACGGCCCAGACUCCUACGGGAGGCAGCAGUGGGGAAUAUUGGACAAUGGGCGCAAGCCUGAUCCAGCAAUGCCGCGUGUGUGAAGAAGGCCUGCGGGUUGUAAAGCACUUUCAGUAGGGAAGAAAAGCUCAUGGUUAAUACCCGUGAGUCUUGACGUUACCUACACAAGAAGCACCGGCUAAUUCCGUGCCAGCAGCCGCGGUAAUACGGAAGGUGCUAGCGUUAAUCAGAAUCACUGGGCGUAAAGCGCGCGUAGGCGGCUUGGUAAGUCAGAUGUGAAAGCCCCGGGCUCAACCUGGGAACUGCAUUUGAAACUGCCGGGCUAGAGUGCAGUAGAGGGAAGUGGAAUUCCGCGUGUAGCGGUGAAAUGCGUAGAUAUGCGGAGGAACACCAGUGGCGAAGGCGACUUCCUGGACUGACACUGACGCUCAGGUGCGAAAGCGUGGGGAGCAAACAGGAUUAGAUACCCUGGUAGUCCACGCCGUAAACGAUGGGUACUAGAUGUCGCGGGAUUAAGUUUUUAGUGGCGCAGUUAACGCGUUAAGUUCUCCGCCUGGGGAGUACGGCCGCAAGGUUAAAACUCAAAGGAAUUGACGGGGGCCCGCACAAGCGGUGGAGCAUGUGGUUUAAUUCGAUGCAACGCGAAGAACCUUACCUGCCUUUGACAUCCUCGGAACCCCGCGGAGACGCGGGGGUGCCUUCGGGAGCCGAGUGACAGGUGCUGCAUGGCUGUCAUCAGCUCGUGUCGUGAGAUGUUGGGUUAAGUCCCGUAACGAGCGCAACCCUUGUCCUUAGUUGCCAGCGGUUCGGCCGGGAACUCUAGGGAGACUACCGUUGACAAGGCGGAGGAAGGUGGGGAUGACGUCAAGUCAUCAUGGCCCUUAUAGGCGGGGCUACACACGUGCUACAAUGGCCGGUGCAGAGGGCCGCGGACCCGCGAGGGCGAGCAAAUCCCACAAAACCGGUCGUAGUCCGGAUCGGAGUCUGCAACUCGACUCCGUGAAGCCGGAAUCGCUAGUAAUCGCGGAUCAGCACGCCGCGGUGAAUACGUUCCCGGGCCUUGUACACACCGCCCGUCACACCAUGGGAGUGGGUUGUACCAGAAGUAGGUAGUCUAACCGCAAGGAGGACGCUUACCACGGUAUGGUUCAUGACUGGGGUGAAGUCGUAACAAGGUAACC
RNAcentral lists this ribosomal RNA (1499 nucleotides) under uncultured prokaryote. RNAcentral's name for it is "partial 16S ribosomal RNA". It matches the Rfam family "Bacterial small subunit ribosomal RNA". The record is from RNAcentral.